Camelina sativa (false flax) is the source of this 403-nucleotide non-coding RNA. NCBI's taxonomy places the organism in Eukaryota, Viridiplantae, Streptophyta, Magnoliopsida, Brassicales, Brassicaceae. The record is from RefSeq and is a predicted model, not a curated record.
UUGCUGUACCAGGCCCUUGGAGCCUGCUUAAGUCCAUACAAAGCCUUUUUCAGUUUGUACACCAUGUUUUCUGCUCCCUCUAUCUCAUACCCAGCCAGUGAUAUAAUAGUUCUGAUGGUGUUAUGUCUUGACACCGGAGCAAAAGUUUCCCCAUAAUCUUCUCCAUAUGUUUGAGCCUCUCCACUAAAUCCCAUGUCUCAUUUUUGUUGAUAGUGUCAAUCUCGUCAUCCAUUGCACCUCUCCAAUCUUGGUCCACUAUGGCUUCUUCAAAAAACGCAGGUUCUUGCCAUGAAUCAAAACAUGACACAUACACCCAAAUACUCUAAGGUGACCAACUGACGGUUUGUGGCCACUCCAUGCUUCCAAGGGUGUUUUCUGAUUAAGGGCUUUAGUGGGAAGUCUA